RNAcentral lists this ribosomal RNA (497 nucleotides) under uncultured bacterium. RNAcentral's name for it is "partial 16S ribosomal RNA". It matches the Rfam family "Bacterial small subunit ribosomal RNA", at positions 28 to 507 of the family's 1533-position model. The record is from RNAcentral.
GACGAACGCUGGCGGCGUGCCUAAUACAUGCAAGUAGAACGCUGAAGAGAGGAGCUUGCUCUUCUUGGAUGAGUUGCGAACGGGUGAGUAACGAGUAGGUAACCUGCCUGGUAUCGGGGGAUAACUAUUGGAAACGAUAGCUAAUACCGCAUAAAAUGGCUUAUCGCAUGAUAAUCCAUUGAAAGGUGCAAAUGCAUCACUACCAGAUGGACCUGCGUUUUAUUAGUUAGUUGGUGGGGUAACGGCUCACCAAGGCGACGAUACAUAGCCGACCUGAGAAGGUGAACGGCCACACUGGGACUGAGACACGGCCCAGACUCCUACGGGGGGCAGCAGGAGGGAAUCUUCGGCAAUGGACGGAAGUCUGACCGAGCAACGCCGCGUGAGGGGAGAAAGUUUUCGGAUCGUAAAGCUCUGUUGUAAGAGAAGAACGAGUGUGAGAGUGGAAAGUUCACACUGUGACGGUAUCUUACCAGAAAGGGACGGCUAACUACGUG